Molecule: ribosomal RNA, 433 nt
Filed under: uncultured bacterium
Lineage: Bacteria
Description: partial 16S ribosomal RNA
Rfam family: Bacterial small subunit ribosomal RNA
Source: RNAcentral
AACGAACGCUGGCGGCAUGCCUAACACAUGCAAGUCGAACGAGACCUUCGGGUCUAGUGGCGCACGGGUGCGUAACGCGUGGGAACCUGCCUUUAGGUUCGGAAUAACUCAGAGAAAUUUGAGCUAAUACCGGAUGAUGUCUUCGGACCAAAGAUUUAUCGCCUUUAGAUGGGCCCGCGUUGGAUUAGCUAGUUGGUGGGGUAAAGGCCUACCAAGGCGACGAUCCAUAGCUGGUCUGAGAGGAUGAUCAGCCACACUGGGACUGAGACACGGCCCAGACUCCUACGGGAGGCAGCAGUGGGGAAUAUUGGACAAUGGGCGAAAGCCUGAUCCAGCAAUGCCGCGUGAGUGAUGAAGGCCUUAGGGUUGUAAAGCUCUUUUACCCGAGAUGAUAAUGACAGUAUCGGGAGAAUAAGCUCCGGCUAACACCGUG